GACGAACGCUGGCGGCGUGCUUAACACAUGCAAGUCGAACGGAAAGGCCCUGCUUUUGUGGGGUGCUCGAGUGGCGAACGGGUGAGUAACACGUGAGUAACCUUCCCUUGACUUUGGGAUAACUUCAGGAAACUGGGGCUAAUACCGGCUAGGAGCUCCUGCUGCAUGGUGGGGGUUGGAAAGUUUCGGCGGUUGGGGAUGGACUCGCGGCUUAUCAGCUUGUUGGUGGGGUAGUGGCUUACCAAGGCUUUGACGGGUAGCCGGCCUGAGAGGGUGACCGGCCACAUUGGGACUGAGAUACGGCCCAGACGCCUACGGGAGGCAGCAGGGGGGAAUAUUGCACAAUGGGCGGAAGCCUGAUGCAGCAACGCCGCGUGCGGGAUGACGGCCUUCGGGUUGUAAACCGCUUUCGCCUGUGACGAAGCGUGAGUGACGGUAAUGGGUAAAGAAGCACCGGCUAACUACGUG
This 468-nucleotide ribosomal RNA is filed under the name uncultured bacterium. Its description in RNAcentral is "partial 16S ribosomal RNA". It matches the Rfam family "Bacterial small subunit ribosomal RNA", at positions 28 to 507 of the family's 1533-position model. The record is from RNAcentral.